GGGGGGCUCGAGUAUCACUCCCAACCCAUGUGAACUUAUCUCUUUGUUGCCUCGGCGCAAGCUACCCGGGACCUCGCGCCCCGGGGGGCCCGCCGGCGGACAAACCAAACUCUGUUAUCUUCGUUGAUUAUCUGAGUGUCUUAUUUAAUAAGUCAAAACUUUCAACAACGGAUCUCUUGGUUCUGGCAUCGAUGAAGAACGCAGCGAAAUGCGAUAAGUAAUGUGAAUUGCAGAAUUCAGUGAAUCAUCGAAUCUUUGAACGCACAUUGCGCCCAUUAGUAUUCUAGUGGGCAUGCCUGUUCGAGCGUCAUUUCAACCCCUAAGCACAGCUUAUUGUUGGGACUCUACGGCUUCGUAGUUCCCCAAAGACAUUGGCGGAGUGGCAGCAGUCCUCUGAGCGUAGUAAUUCUUUAUCUCGCUUUUGUUAGGCGCUGCCCCCCCGGCCGUAAAACCCCCAAUUUUUUCUGGUUGACCUCGGAUCAGGUAGGAAUACCCGCUGAACUUAAGCAUAUCAAUAAGCGGAGGAA
This 527-nucleotide ribosomal RNA is filed under the name Nigrospora sp. JL4. RNAcentral's name for it is "eukaryotic LSU rRNA". The stretch from base 157 to 310 matches the Rfam family "5.8S ribosomal RNA". Lineage: Eukaryota; Fungi; Ascomycota; Sordariomycetes; Amphisphaeriales; Apiosporaceae. The record is from RNAcentral.